RNAcentral lists this long non-coding RNA (5056 nucleotides) under Sus scrofa (pig). RNAcentral describes it as "lncRNA (ENSSSCG00040031631.1)". The record is from RNAcentral. Lineage: Eukaryota; Metazoa; Chordata; Mammalia; Artiodactyla; Suidae.
AAGGACAGAAAAAUAAGCAAAAUUUUUAACAGUAUUUGCUAAAGGAGUUAGAAGCAUUGUCAGUUUAAAAACUUCAUAGAAAAAAUAAUUGAAACAGUGUAAUAAAGUUACUUAAUUCUAAUUUAAUUUUUGCAAAGGGGAUUAUUUGGGAUCAAAUAAUAACCUAUCACAUUCAUUGUAAUCUAGCAAAUGGAAUGAUUUGAUAUAUAAUUGAACGAAGCAUGAAUUCAAACAAAACUAGUAGACUUUCUGUGACCACUUGUUUGAACACCAUUCAGAAGAGUAGAAUAUGUCAUACCUUGUAACCUAAACUGCUCUGCAGAUAAGUAAUACCAACAGUCUUGAAUUUUUUAAUUUGGUAAUACCCCUCUCCCUGUAAUACCAAGAAUAUUACCAAAACUCUGUUAGUUGACAUAAAUACAUGUUUGGUAUUCAGUACCACAUUUUGUGGUAUUUUUGCCUUCCUCAUCCUUUUUGCCUUCAAAAGAUGUGCCUUUUGCAAUAAUAUGAUAAUUGGCUUCUGAUAAGACUAUUAAUGUUAAUAGAUGUAAAAUAUGACAUUUAGCAGGGACAAAGAUGGAGUUUUAAAUUUUAUAGCCAAUUCUCAUACCACCAAUGCUGCAAUAAUAGGAAGACUUAAUAAGGAGUCUGGAAAAACUGAAUUCUUUUGACUCUUUCACCCCAACCAACCCAAAGACACACUUUUAGGAUGGACUGGGAUGGAUUGUACAAGGUAAGAGAACAGUGUUAAUUCUUGCUUUGGAUCGGAUGCUAGAAAAAAGACCUAAAUAUUAUAAUGGAUACCCUAAAUAAAACAAUUAAUAAAAAUAGAAAACAAUGAGAAAUGUUUAAGAGAGUAGAUUUGUUAUGUAUAUUUACCAUAAUAAAAAAAAAUUAGGGGUUCCUGCUGUGGUGCAAUGGGAUCGACAGUGUCUCUGUAGCACCAAGAUGCAUGUUUGACCCUUGGCCCAGCACAGUGGGUUAAAGGAUCUGGUGUUGCUGCAGCUGCAACGUAGGUCACAAUUUUGGCUCAGAUCUGAUCCCAGUCCCGGGGACUCCAUAUGCUGUGGGGUGGCCAAAAAAAAAAAAAAAAAAAAAAAAAAGGGAAAAAAAAAGAUGGAAUAAAAAGGGGUUAUUACAAUCUUAAAAUCACAUGAGCUGAGAAUGGAAGGUUAGCAUUGACCUAGUGAGGUGUGAGCUCUUGUCAGAUGGGAAAGCUGAGGCCCAGAAAGGCCUUCCUUGUUACUUAGAGUUCCAAGACUGCAGCCUCUGGAUUAGGCUUGAGUUUUUAUUGCUCUCAGGCAAGACUGGAAAAGUAAAGGAGUUUAGGGAAAAGUGAUGCUAAGAGAAAAACCAAAGGGAAAUUAAAGGUUGGUUGAACAAAUCCAGAAAGGGCCUGAGCAUUGCUUUUAGUGACCUGUGUCGGGAACUCAAGGGUUUUUCUUCCCUUGUGGUUCUCUGGCUUGAAAGCCAUGUUCAAGUUCAGCCUUCUGCUGUUGGCCUUUCUGAGCUGCUUUAUGAGAAGCCAGACAUGUGUGGCCCCUCUACACUCCACUCUCAAGGUGACAGAGAGGGGCUGAAUCUCCCUCCCAGGCCAGCAGGAGCCUCCCGGCUGCCUCCAAUGUGCAUCUGUUCUGUUCGUGCCUGGAGCCCCACUGCAGUCAGCAUCCAAAUAUAUUGGAAACAAAACCUACAAGCAUGAAUUAUUAUAAGCUGUACCCACUAAAAUAUGAAAAGUGUAUUUUGCUAGUGUCUGCCUUAUCUCUGAGCCCUGAUAGGGGAAACAGCUUUAAGGAAAAAGAGUGACUUCAAUGGGGGGGCUAUUGCCAGGCUGCAUAAUGGGCCCAGAGGAGGGAGGCUGGCCUUGGGGAGCAGGGAGGAACAUGUGCUUUGAAGGGGAUCGGCAGAGCUGGCUGGUACUGGCUGCUUAGGGGAAGGAAACGUUGCACAGGCCUCCAACGGCUGUUCACUUGUACUUGAGGAAGUCAGGGCCUGAUAAGCAUUUUUCUUGAGUAGAAUAAGAGACUUGAAGGACUUUGAAGCAGUCAGAAGUGAAUCGUCCCCGUCUUCGCACCAGCAUCCUACCUGGAAGGGCAAGUGCCACAGCGGGGGGUGGGGGGAGAGGAGUGGACUGCCUCCCCCUUUCCUGAGUGGAGGUGCAUGGAGAGGAUCGAGAGCAUUUUUAAAAGAUCACCCAGGUACUUGCAGGAUGAAUAUAUGUUUUAUGAACCAGGGAACUAGAAUAUUCCCAUUAUGUAAGCAGUUUUAUCUGAAGAAUGUUGUGGGCACAUCGGUCGUCAUGGACCACAGGGAACUCUUCAGAGGCUCUUCAUGUGGCACCCUAAAAGAGAAUAAGACACCGUGGUGUUAGCACAAGAGAAAGAAGGGGAGGAAGAAGACAUAGACAAGACGGCACCUCCCUUUUUAUUUUGGUGGGUGGUGUGUUUACAGCUGUAUUUUUUUUAAUGAUUAUGGUUGAUUUAUAAUUUUAUGCCAAUUUCUGCUCUACAGCAAAGUGACCCCUGUCAUACAUACAUAUAUACAUUAAUAUACAUUGCUUUCCUAUUACCUUUCAUCAUGUUCUAUACCAAGAGAUUGGAUAUAGUUUCCUGAGUUGUACAGUAGGGUCUCACUGCUUAUCCAUUCUAAAUGUAAUAAUUUGCAUCUACUAACCCCAAACUGCCUGUUCAUCCCUUUCCCUCCCUCCUCCCCCUUUGACAAGUCUGUGCUCUAUGUCUGUGGUCCCUUAGUGAGUGAAAGCUGUGUUCCCCCUGCCCCCUGCACAUAUGCACCCCCCCUCCCCGCUCCCCACACACAUGCACGCAGCAAGUUAACCGAGCCUUUGGUGUAUUAAAAAAAUUCUCACCACGUCUAUAGGGUGCACCCUGCCCCCCCCCACCCCCCAUAACAGAGCGGAGCCGAGACAGAGGAGUGGAGCCCCAGGAAAAAAGUCUCAUCAUGAGUCGAUUAAAACCCCAGCCUCCUGACCUCCAAUCAUAAGUUCCUGGCCCUGGGAAAUAGCUCUCUAAUGGGCUUUAGGCAAUAAAGCAACAAGGCUGAAAUUGAGGUUACAUUAAAGCCUAAUUUUCUUAUGAGGAAAAAUGUGCAAAUGAAUAUGAAAGUGAUGUACCUUUGUAAUACAGCUUCUUGCCUGUGCCCAAACAUCCUUAGCCUUUUGUCUCAAUUUUCUCAGUACAGCGUGUGCCUGAAGCUACCCGAAUAUAUUUUACUCAGUAAUGCGGUCUUCCCUUAGCUGGGGUGUGGACAGAAAGGAAUGGCUUAGCUGCAGUUGGGGUAAAUUGGGACUAACGAAGCCUGGUGCAGGUAGGAACCUCUGCCUGCCAGCCGCACACCUAACACAAGCCCCUUUUGGGGUAUCAGAGAAGAUUCUAGACACAUGGCUUUAAGAUAGGCCCCUGACUAUCGUAUAAGCUUAAAAAGGAAAAAAAAAAAAAAAAAAAAAAAGACUGUCUUAGCCUCAAUUUAUCCCCCUGUAAAAAGGGGUACCCUCAAUAGAGUAUUGAUGAGAUAUCUGGGAAAGGGUUUAAGCAUUAGAGCCACAUGUAAAAUAGAAGUUAUGGUUUUAUUAGAUCCAGUUCCAGCAGGAAGCCAGCUUUGUAAUAACAUCAGGCAAAUCAUUUCACUGCCCUGAGCCUGGUUUCCUCCGCUUUAAAGUUAAGACACCUUUAAAAGUGCUGUAGGUCUAUAGAUCUUGUAUCUAGAUUCUAAGGAGAUGGUGGGUGUGCAGUUUUACAAAAGCGCCCUUUUUAAGUGCAUCUUAGUUCUCAGUGCCUUUCCUCCCCUCUCCAUGAUCCAUUGCAAAAUUGUAAAGGUAGAGUGGGAAGCAGAAGAAUAACAUGGAAUAAAAGGCAUCCAGAACUUUGCAGCUCAGACAGUAGAGCCUGGCUUGAGAAAGAAGGAAGUUGUGUGACGCAGGGCCUGCUGAGAUGCCAUCCGGAAGCAUUGUUUACUCUCCUGCAAGCACCAAGAAAAGCAAUCCAGAAAUGCCAAGUGAAUAUUUUGCCUCUUACAUGCACCUCUUAUUUCCCUGGUGUUUCUAGGCUGUGUUAGCCUUUAUGCUUAAGUGAUGCAUGUUAUAUUGUCCAGGAUUUCAUGCCCACUAGGUGACAUUACACUAUUACCACUUUUAAUGCUGCAGUAGUUUUCAUAACCUAUAGUACGUAUAUGGAUCCUUAUUAUAACUUCUAUUUGGGCCUUUUUUUUUUUUUAAUAAGAAGGCAUUUUUUUCUUUUGGCAGCUACAUUGUUGGGGGCUUUGAGAAUUUCCUUAAUGCUGUCACUCAAGGGGUAUACGUUCUGAAUUGUCAUUUUCUGCUUUUGUGCAGUUUCUCUUGUUCCUAUGAGCUUCGUUAGUGGCUCAUGCACAAUAUGACUCUUUGGAAGUCUAGAUUGCUGGCAGCCCCAGCGGUGCCCAGAGUCUUGUUAGGAGGGCAUUUCUUCCUGCCCUCGGCGUGACAGAUUGGAGAUGCUGGUGCAGACUGAAGCGAAAAUAAAUUGCAGAGAUGAGACCCCAAAGACAAAGAGACAUGCAAGUGGCUGUGGGCUUCAAGGAGCAAAUUUAAUCAGUGCUGACUCCAGGCUUACUGGUUUGCAGAAAUAAUUCCUGUGGCAGCAAAAAGCUCCUGCUUAGAGAAGUUGUUAGAGCUUGAGUCACAGAGGGUGGUGGGCUCCCAGGGGCAUUUGAUGAUAUUUAGUAAUCCCUUUCAGAAGGGAUGCAUACACCCCUCAGAAAAAAUACACAUCCCUGUGCCACACAGCGACCCUCCCCUCCCUCAUUCUGAUUCUGAAUGGCUGUAUAGCCUUUGGCAGGAGAGGAACUUCUCUGAGUUUCAUUCAAUUUCUUCAUCUAGAAAAUGGAACUCUAACCUGCUUAUUUUACAAGGUGGUAUGAAAGAAUUGAAGGAUAAUGCUGAUUUAAAAAAAAUCACUAAAAGGAUCCUUAAACAUUUAAUUGUUACUAAUUUCUUCUUAGCAGAGAGGGAAAUAAAAGGCUUUGAUUCCUGUUAAAAAGAUUCGUGGUCUUUAAAUGAGUGGAU